GCGACUGUAGCUCAGCUAGGAGAGCAUGAUACUUUCUCGGGAUUUUCAGGUGCCUGUUCAAGUCAGGCCGGUCGUA
This is a non-coding RNA of Hymenopellis radicata, 76 nucleotides long. The record is from the annotation of a GenBank genome assembly. NCBI's taxonomy places the organism in Eukaryota, Fungi, Basidiomycota, Agaricomycetes, Agaricales, Physalacriaceae.